Molecule: small RNA, 184 nt
Filed under: Marinactinospora thermotolerans DSM 45154
Lineage: Bacteria; Bacillati; Actinomycetota; Actinomycetes; Streptosporangiales; Nocardiopsidaceae
Description: Actinobacteria sRNA Ms_IGR-5
Rfam family: Actinobacteria sRNA Ms_IGR-5
Source: Rfam by way of RNAcentral
ACGCAAGAAGGGAGGUGGUCCGAAAGUGCAUUCUUUUAGGACUCGCGAGGUGUUCGUCCGCUAGGGCGACCCGUAUACGGGAUCGCUCCGGCGAAUCCCUGAUGGACACCCAGACCUCCGGGUGGCCGGCCUUGUCCACCGGCCACGGAGCGCCUCGGCGCUCCGAGCCCGGGGGUCCGUCCAU